GGUCUAUAGGGUCCAUGGGGUCCCCUGUGGGCGCAGGUGCGUGCCGCUGUGGGUCGGAGCACGGGGGGUGGAGUUCGACUGGAGGCACCUGCAGAUGGGGCUGGACUCCAACAUCAGCCUGGCUCGUCACGUGGCCGCGGCCGCCCUGCUGUGGGUCUCGGGGCGCCAGGAGCUGCCCCCACGCUCGCGCCUGCCCCUGGGGGGCUCCUCCUGGCCGCAGCCUAUGAGGGCUUCCUGAGCGGGUGGGCGGGGCAGGCGCUGGGGCUGGGGCCCUGGGGGGCGCUGGGGCUGCGGGCGCUGGGCGCUGUGGGGCUGGGGCUUGGGGCCCUGCGGCUCCUGGCCCCACUCCUGCCCCCCCCCUGAAGUAAAGG
This is a long non-coding RNA of Pezoporus flaviventris, 371 nucleotides long. RefSeq lists it as uncharacterized. The record is from RefSeq and is a predicted model, not a curated record. Lineage: Eukaryota; Metazoa; Chordata; Aves; Psittaciformes; Psittacidae. The transcript is spliced from 3 exons.